GACUCUUUGCGCCUCGGCUCACGUGUGUACAUCUGCGUUUCAGGUUUCUCUUUGAGCUCGAGACUCAGCUUACCUUAAUUCCAAAGCCGUUGAAGAGAUUGACGUCGCGUCGGCAUGGUUGAAACAAAGCUGAGAAAAGAGUGGCAGGUUGUACUUCCUGCACUGCGAAGCAUGGAGAGGAUCAUCCUGUACAUAGCAGACAGAAGAUACACUGGGAAAACAGCUGACUGUGAGAUUACCUAAAAAGAAUUGUCUCUUUGGGCAGAAUCUGGAAGGUAUUUCAGAAGAGAAAGGCCUAAAAUCUGAAAGAGUACUGGCAUGUUUGGCUACAAAGAUAAUGAGAGAAGAGCCUCUGAGAAGCACGACCGACAAUAUUUCAGGGAAGAAGCAGCAGCAAAGCUUGAUGCAGGAAGAACUUCGAAACAUUUGGUAGAGCCACGUGUGACUGAUCAAAAUAUUCACCCUAAAAAAAAAAAAAAACAAACAAAAACAAAAAAAAAAACCCCACACCACACAGAUGGUUAAGAUUUGCUAGAAUCCGGGAGAUUUUUCCAAUGGGACUUUAUCUACCCACAAUCACUUUGAAGACCUUCAUCCGAAUUUCUACAAUACAAAGCAACGAGAUUCCAUAUUUUGCAGCCACAGAAGGAAAGUUACCAUGCCUGCUUAACCGCUCAGGAAACACAUGCCAUUUCUACUGCAAUUGUAUUUGUUAUGGAGAAAAUCCAUACAAUGUAACAUAGGGGUUCUUGCUACACAGGGUGAGAUGGUGUCACUGAUAGUAUCUGGAUGGUGGACAAUACCAUCUGUUCCAAAGACAUGUGAUCUCAAAUCUUGGUUUUUAAGUAAUGCUGUAUUCUAGGAGACAAAUGCUUUGUUCAAUUUCUUAGUUAGUUACAACAUUGCAGCAUGGUCUUUAAUAAGGGCAACUGUCUGCUAUCAGGUGGGGGCUUUUAAGGUAGAGGAACUGCUGGUCAAUUGCACUAACCAUGAGGGGAAGGCUUCAGGUAUUUCUUUCAAACUCUAUGCUUUAGAAAAGUUAUUAGUCACUUGAGACAAGUGUCCAUAUGUUACUUUCGUACAAGUGAAUCAGCUUCAGAACUUUAUUCCCACGUGUCCUGAAGUAUGAAGAUGCCAUACAAGAAUCCUGAACGAACAGACACCGACGGUGUGGUGGGGAUGGAUGCUGAGGGAGAGAAGAGCAGAUAGUUCUGUGCAAGCCAUUGCACACAAGGACUCUGUAAACAGGACUGGUGACAAGACUGGCCCUCCUUAUCCCCAAAAUCCAGGAUUAUUUAAAUGUGUUACGUUAGGCACAUGCCUCAGUUUAUUUCUAUGAUUUGGGAUGAUAUUGACACAGCACAUUUUAAAGCGCUCAAAGUGGUAUGCCAGAGUGGGAGCCCAAGCAACCACAGCAUGGUAUGCAGGAGUGCAGUUCCUGUUCCAGAAAAAGAAGCUCUCGUACAACACACCCCUCCUGUGAAUUUGUUGGCUGAGAGUAGCAGAGAAGACAGAGUUAUUGUCAAAAGGCUUCAGCAGUCACCUGAAAAUAUUUUUCUGCUGAGAGUGCUUUGCAAAUAUUUAAUUGUAUCUGGCUGCUUUCUGCCUUGAUUCUCUGUCAUUUGAAGUUGUACUUUGGAGAUCGCAUUGUGUGUUCUGUAACCACAGGUAGCAAAAAUUGUGGCUGUUGCUUCUGUCCAGCCACCAUCUGUUAGCUGCUUUAUAGCUGUGUGCUUUGUAAGUGAUCUAUCAAAUGCCACCAAAUAUUUUUCAUAUGUGAUCAUUCUGUGCCCAUCAAUAGCAAUAAUGAAGAUUGAAGGCUACAUGAACAAAAAGCUGUAAAUAAAUGUGUGAUAUGUAUGCCUGUAAAUUAGCCUUCUUCAUUCAUAAUUUUAUUUCAUAAUUAAGUGAAACCUAAGCUCUCUGGCAGGAAAUGGAGAAUGAUUCAUAUGAGCACCCGUGAAUUCAUAAUCUCUUCUAUUGGACAUGAAGUCACUUUACCCAUUUAUCCAUAUGCUUUGCUACGCUCAACAGGUGCUUCAUUUCACUGUUUUGUCUGAUCCCACUCUGUUUUAUUUCCCGUUUUCCAUGGAAGAAAAGCCAGCAAGA
Molecule: long non-coding RNA, 2109 nt
Organism: Lagopus leucura (white-tailed ptarmigan)
Lineage: Eukaryota; Metazoa; Chordata; Aves; Galliformes; Phasianidae
Exons: 6
Source: RefSeq, a predicted model, not a curated record